This is a long non-coding RNA of Cavia porcellus (domestic guinea pig), 933 nucleotides long. RefSeq lists it as uncharacterized. The transcript has 4 exons. NCBI's taxonomy places the organism in Eukaryota, Metazoa, Chordata, Mammalia, Rodentia, Caviidae. The record is from RefSeq and is a predicted model, not a curated record.
GCCUGGAACUGCCGAACUGCCCCCAAGAAACACGGGGCAGUGGAGCGGUGGUGGCAGCAGCAACGGACAUGUGGUGCUUGGGGGGUGGAGCUGGACAGGGUCAGGACCCUACACGCUGCAACCCUGCGUGGGGCUGAGCAGCCACAUGGAGCCGGAACUGCUUGCAGGGCACACAGAUUAGGGCACGGCAUUAGAGCCGACCCCGCACGGACCUGGAGCAUGGUAUGAGAGUUAUGUAAAGCUGACCCACUUUUCAGUUCUGGUGUGAAGCAAGACCUAACACUGCAGAAGAGCAAAGAUUUUCAUGGCCACAAUAAUCUAUUCAGAGAUUCAGAUGUGACAAAAUCCCAACAAUCAGGGUCUUCACAAUUCUUUUUGCGUGAACUGGGACCAUCAACAGCUACCUUUGUGCCACACCAUCCUGCCUUGGAGCCAGCAGAGUAUGGACUGAAACCUUCAAAAGUGUUUCAUUAGAUUCUGAUGCUAUUGAAAGGAAGCAUUUUUGAUAAACUAAUUCCUUCCCUGAAAUCAUAGCUUUUUCAGACAAUAUUCUCAGAAGAGUGAAUGAUCCAAACGAAAUACCUUGUCAUGUGUCUGGAAAAGUCAUUCAAAUAGCAACACAAGAGAAAAUAUUGUGUGUUUAGUCACAGAGGGAAUCAUGUGAGACUGUAAGUGUGGGAAGCCGCCUGAGAUGGCGCCCAUUUCCUGCUUCCGGGUUCUUCCCGGCCUGAACAAGCCCGCCAAAUUGUCAUGUCUGCCCAGUUACCCGUGACGCUAGCCUAUCAGCUUGUUAGGCGCACUUCUCUGUGAUUGGAUACUGCUUCCCCUUAUAAGAGGUUGUUCCUGCCCCCAACGGCGGAAGAGGAAUCAACGUUGAGGGUGGCGGACCUUGUUAGGUCCGGUUCGCUGUACGCAAUAAAGUUUGAGAGCUGA